This 13137-nucleotide long non-coding RNA is filed under the name Ananas comosus (pineapple). RNAcentral describes it as "long non-coding RNA (ACOM_LNC027735)". The record is from RNAcentral. Lineage: Eukaryota; Viridiplantae; Streptophyta; Magnoliopsida; Poales; Bromeliaceae.
UUUUUUUUUCUUCGUUUCGGCAAAAAAAAAAGACAAAGAGACGAAGAGAGAGAGAAAGAGAAAAAAAAGAACGAGAGAACGAAGAGGAGAGAGAAAGAGGAAAGGGAAAAAGUAAUAAGGGUAUUUUGGUCAGUUUGCUGAAAAAGCGGACCGAAUCUGCAAAAACGAAAAAGGUGGCCCGAUUUUGCAAAAGUCCAAAAUAAGUGAAUUUUUUAUGCAAAUUGGCCAAAUAAGUUACACACACGAUAGCAAAUGUAUCUCGAGUAAUAACACCACCCUUAGAAAAAACAAGGAAGAUCCAAAAAAAAAGAAAAGAAAAAGAAUUAACACUCUUUCAACCAUCAACCUAGUAUCAAAAACACUUUGAAAAUUAGAAUAAAUUCUUAUUAUGUCAAUGAUCAGAUCCAAGAGAGGAGCUUGAAACAAGCAAAAUCUUCGGCAAAGCUACACAGCACCACCAUGCAUGAAAAGUCCAGAUUAAGAAGCUUACAACAUAACAACACACUGCUUCAGUCUCAAGGGUUGUAAUGUCACGGAAGAUACACACAUACGCCGUGCCUUCACGAUGCCAAAUUAUUCUUCUAAUCUGCGAAGAGCAUACCGCAACCGUCGUAAUAAUAAUGAUACAAGAAGAGUGUGCCUCUCGCUUCUUUCAUCUUACAACAACAUGAUCCUCUACAGGAGGGUCGUUGGGGUGCGCGAUCUCGGGGACGAGAGGGUUGUCGGGGUUGGGGUCGGUGAGGAGGGAGCAGAUGGAGAGGAGGACCUUCGAGAUGGUUAGCGCGGGGCUCCACUGCUCCUUGAGGAUGUCGAGGGAAAUGCUGCCGUUCGAGUUGAUGUUCGGGUGGUACACCUAACAUGAUUUUGAUUUAGUGCAUAAUCAUAUUACUACUACACUGACGGCCGGAGCCUGAGAUAUCCGCCUUUUGCCGCAAGCGAUGGGAGAGCUCCAGCGUGUGGUGGCUGCAGGGAUGGGAACAGGCAUGCAUGAAUUUAUCUAAUUAUAAAAAAUAAAAAUUCCACCUCAUCAUAAUUCAAAAUAAUUUUACAUUUGUAUGAUAUGUAAAAUACUUUAUAUUAUAUUUGAAUAUGUAUUUUAGAAUUUUAGUUUUAAUGUAAUAUAUUUUAAAAUAUCGCAAAGAGAAAUAAUUAUUUCGGGCUCGUAUUCGGAUUUUAAAUUUCUGGUCGGAUUUGAAUUCCGUUAUGGAUUCUGUAUUUGGUAGUCGGAUUUUAAUUUGGAUUUUUAAAACCCAAUUCUGGAAUUUGAUAUGUCGAAAUUCCUAUUUGAGUGUGGAGAUUUAAUUGUAUGUAGAAGUUUUGUUUAAGUUCUCAAACUUUUGGAUCUUAGAGCAUGUUUGGUUUUUUGGACAAUCGAGAAAAUUUAUUUUUCAGAGGGGGAAAAAAAAACCCUUUCCAUAGUUUAAAUUUUCUAGAAUAAAAUAAAAUCUAUAAAGUAAAAAGAAAGAUUUAUUCAUAAAAUUUGAAAAACAAAUUUAGAAAAAAAAUAUUUUUUUAGAACCAAAAAGUAGAGAAGUUUUUUUCAACCAAAAAAAAACUAGAAUGCUACUAGCAGUAAACCAGGAAGUUUAUUUCUAUAUUUGUAUAUCGUUUCGGACGAUGAAAAUAUCUGAAUUGACGAUCCAAACAGUUUUUGAAAAAAAUUUCCUAAAUGCUCUUCUGAGAGAGGUAAUUUUAUCAACGCCCCUUCAAAAUUCAGAGUAUCGCAAUACCGGCCCUCUUGAAAUAUUCUCAAACGCCCCUAUCAAUAAAACAAUUCCACAAAUUUAAUGGAUUAAUUCUAAAUUUCUAUCACAAAAUAUUCUCCAAUGUCUAUCUAGGAGUAAACCACAGGAUAAUUAAGCAUUACUUUUUGACUAGGAUGACAAAAUAAAAAAAUAUAUACUAACGCCUGAUUGGAUGCACAGUUAUAAAAUUUCAUGUAGUUUGUAUAUUGUAGUUUUCCUUUAGAUGAAAUCUAAAAAAAAUUGUGACUCUAAAAAAUUUUAUGAUUUUAUUUUUAAGCUGUUUGAAUACACAUUGUACAAUUUCACUAAAUUUCUACCAAUUUAAAAUUAAAAUUUUUAAAUUUAAAAUCUAGAUUUAAGAUUUAAAAUUUAAAAUUUACAAGUUAUAAUUUAAAAUUAAAUAUUUUACUUUUUAAAAUUUAAAAUUUAAAAUUGAAAAUUUUAUCUUAAAUUUUAAAUUUUAAAAUUUGACACAACAUGGGGGGAGAGAGCCUAAGAAUGAUGGAUUUUUUUUUUUUUUGAGGAAAGAUGGAUUUUUUUUUCCUAAGGUUAGAAUAUAUUGUUAUUUUACUUCAUAUUUGAAGUAUAGUUUAAUUAUAAUACUUCAAAAAAUAUGUACUCUUUUGGAUCUCUCAAACACUUCAUAGGAUAGUUUUUUGUUGGGUAUAAUAUGUUCUAUGGGGCAUUGAAAUAGGGCAAGAUUAUGUCUCCUAAUUUUGAUUAUUAGAUUUUUAAAUUUUGUCAAAUAGUUCAAUAAACUCUUCUUCUCGAGCAAACUUUCUAAUUACAUUAUAUUUUUGAUCAGAUAUAGUGCAUAUAAUCCUAUAAGACUUCUUUAAAAUAUAAAUAAAUCUAAUUUUUCUCUUCUAAGUUUGAUAAUUAAGCAUGCAGAUCACAUAAUAGGCAAUUUUCAUUUUUUUUAUAUGUUAGAAUAUAAAAAAAAAAAAAAAUGGGGGGGAAUUGAAGCUCUAUAAAAUUAUACACAAUACAUACGACGAAAAUGAAUGUAUGAUUAAUAACUAUAAUUGAAGAGAGGGAUUUAUUACACUUUUUGAUUAAGUUUAAGGAAUCUCACCAUUAAAAAUUAAAGGAAAAACUUCAAAUAUCAUCCCAGUACGUGGUUUCGCACUUUCUUACUUUGGUACUAUGUAGUUUAAAAUGUAUCGAUUUAGUACCCCGUGGUUUUUUUUUCUCUUUUUAUUAUUCAUUUUAUUAAUUUUUUUUCGUUAAAUCAGUGAUAAAGUUAAAAUUAAAAAGUACUAAAAUAUAUAUUCGAUAAACCAAGGUGGGGUAUCUGAAGUUUUUUUUAUAUAAUUUAACGAAAUAUUAAUGAAGGAGCUAACGAAAAGAAAAAAAUGAAACCACGGAAUAUUAAAUUGAUAUAUUUACUACAGGAUACUAAAGUGAGAAACUUCGAAACCAUAGGGGUGGUAUUUCAAAUUUACCCUAAAAAUUAAAAGUUCAGCUGCUUAUUUACAAAGAACAGAAGUUACAGAAAAACAAAAGUUCAGGGUCGGUAUAUGUUUUUUUUCCUUUUAAAUUUAAGAUCCACCGAUUAUAGUUGUGGAUAAAAUCUCUCAUCUGAUGAUGUUCAUCUACCAUCUCUUCUAUAAUUAUUUAUAGAUAAAGUUCUCCUCCAAAAUUCAAAAUAAAAUAUAUAAUCAACCAACAUAUCCUACCAAUAAUUAUAUCUUUUUAAAUCUAAAAUCUUCUAAUGAUAAAAUUAUUUUCAAACGUCACAAAAAUAAAUUUCAAGAUAAAUUAGCGUUUAAUUUGCUCCCAAGUAGAACUUAAUUAAACAUUGGUUAAUUGCGCCACCGAUCCCUAACCUUUAGUAGCUUUUUCACUUUGGUGCCUAAUCCUUGUUUUUUUAAGGGGUACUAUUUGGUUCCUAACUUUCAUAUCUUAUUACCGACCGUCUCUAGAGCAAGUGGCAAAGGGCUUGGCGGUUGGUACCCGAGAGCCAAGUUCGAAUCCUAGUUGAUUAACAUUUCUAGCUAAGUUUAUUUCUAAAUGAAAUAAACGAAGCGGGUAGCGUGCUACCUAUCAACAAAGUAAACUCUCAAACUACUCGUACAAGACCAUGGCCAUGGUUCAAUACCCUUUCGUGAAUUUUAGUACUAACUAUUUUGAGUAUUUGAAAGAACUUGGCGAUGCAUUCAGCUCAGACGCUAAAAUGUCAGUAUAGAUCGUAAAUGCUAACCAACUAUCUCAAAAGUACAUGCCGAUAGGAAUGGCACAUAAGAUUCAACCGCAGCGCUCAUGAGCUUCGAUCUGACUAAUCCAUCUGAAUGUUAAAUUUAUUGCUGGAUCUCUUGUCAUUAGAUCUCUUACCAUUAGUUUUAUUGUGGAUUAAUUGCAACUUCACUCAACUUAUCGGACUGGCCCAACUCAAUUUAUACGACCAGUUACAAUAAAAAAAGCAAUCAUCGACAGGUGCGAGGUUGAGGCGGCUGUGAGAGUGAAAAUGAUACAAAGGGAAGUUAGACAAGGGCUUGACACGAUGGGCGUGCAUAUGGAAAGGACCAACGGUGUAGGUAACUAUAGCGGCUAAUAAUUUGACUGUGAGAAGAAAAAUAAAUUGGGCUAGGGCUGGGGAUCAAUAGUGCAGUUAACUUAUAAUCCUAAAUAAACAUGUAUACAUUACAAACACUGACUCAAAAUAGCUAAACAAGCUUUUAUUCAUCUUCACGCAUAUAUAUAUAUAUAUAUAUAUAUAUAGAGCAGGGCUGCUGUGCUCUCAGGAGCACGGAGGCCUCCGUGCUCCUGAGCCGUUUUCAAUAAUGGAAUUUUCGAAUCGACGAUCGGCUCCGUUAGACUUGAUCUAGCGCAUUUGAAGUUUCUAGAAAAUAAUUUUUGCGAUUUUUCGAUAUCAUUUACCUAGUGAUCGAAAUGAUUCAAAAUCUAUAAUUUUAAUGGUUGAUAUCUGCCGUUUUCAAGUUUAACGGUGUAGAAGUAUUCAAAUCAGAUGAAAUUUGAUAGAAAAUUCUUUAUACUAGCUACAAACAAGAUCUAUAUUUCUGAUCGAAAAUUUUAGUGCUAUAUCACCACUUUUUAUAGAAUUUUUAUUUUCAGCCGUUAAAUUUAUUGAUUUUGAAUCCUUUCGAUUGCUAGGUAAAUGAUAUCGAAAAAUCGCAAAAAUUAUUUUCUAGAAACUUUAAAUACGCUAGAUCAAGUUUAACGGAGCCGAUCGUCGAUUCAGAAACUCCAUCAUCGAAAACGGCUUAGGAGCACGGAGGCCUCGUGCUCCUAAGAGCACAGCAGCCUCCCUGCUCUAUAUAUAUAUAUAUAUAUAUAGAAUUAUGCUACUAUACUAUCAAAGUACCAAGCCCUUGGUACUAUGAGUUUUUGGUCGUUGAAUAAAGAAUGUGCGGUUAGGAUGAUAGUGGUCCCGGUUAAAUUGAUAGUAGUCUCCUAGGUGAGUGGGUGGUUGGUUUAAUAGUAUUAUCUAACGGGUGGAAAUGAUCAAAGGGUAUAUCUAACGGUAGAAAAUCAAUAGUAUCAAGGGCUUGGUACUGUCAAUAGUAUACUAGCCGGACACUGUAUUAUAUAUAUAUAUAUAUAUAGCAGGGCUGCUGUGCUCUCAGGAGCACGGAGGCCUCCGUGCUCCUGAGCUGUUUUCGAUGAUGGAAUUUUUCGAAUCGACGAUCGCUCCGUUAGACUUGAUCUAGCGCAUUUGAAAUUUCUAGAAAAUAAUUUUUGCGAUUUUUCGAUAUCAUUUACCUAGCGAUCGAAAGGAUUCAAAAUCUAUAAUUUUUAAUGGUUGAUAUCUGCCGUUUUCAAGUUUAACGGUGUAAAAGUAUUUCAAUCAUUGAUGAAUUUUGAUAGAAAUUUUAUACUAUCUACAACAAGAUCUAUAUUUCUGAUCGAAAUUUUAGUGCUAUAUCACCACUUUUUAUAGGAUUUUUAUUUUCAGCCGUUAAAAAUUAUUGAUUUUGAAUCCUUUCGAUUGCUAGGUAAAUGAUAUCGAAAAAUCACAAAAAUUAUCUUCUAGAAAUUUAAAUACGUUAGAUCAAACUUAACGGAGCCGAUCGUCGAUUCGAAAACUCCAUCAUCGAAAAUGGCUCAGGACACGGUGCUCCUGAGAGCACAGCAGCCCUGCUAUAUAUAUAUAUAUAUAUAUAAUUAUAUAUAUAUAUAUAUAUAUAUAUAUAUAUAUAUAUAUAUUAUAGUUGGCUAGAAUACUAUUGGUAGUAAACGAGCCGUUUUACUAUCGAUUUGUUUUCAAUGAUAGAACGUCCAAAUUGACGAUCGGCUCCGUUGAACAUAAUCUAUACCACUUAAUGUGUUUAGAAAUCAAAUUUCAAAUCUUUUCGACAUCAUUUGCCUAAUGAUCAAAGGGUUUCAAAAUUUGUAAUUUUAAUGGUCGAUAAGAGCGUUUUAUCAUUUAAUGGCAUAAAGAUAUUCAAAUCAAUGUGAAUUUUGUUAGAAAAUUUUUUAAACUAGUUGAGUGUACGUACAAAUGCACGUAACAAUUAUUUUAAUUUAUUUUAAAUUAAUAAAAAUUGUAAUCAUAUUGAGUUAAGAAUUUAGAAUAAAAUAUUUUGUAAAUUUUAUAUGUUAUGUAUUUUAUUAGAAAAUAUCUACAAUAUAUUCUUGGAUAAGCAUAAUUUUUUUCUAUUUUAGAGAUAAAAAAAAUAAACAAAUUUCUAAUUAAAAUAUAGAUUCAUAGUAGAUACUUUUCGGUUGGCAAAAAUUUGGAUAAGUAUAUUUUUUUACUAUUUUAAAAUACAUGAUUUUAUUUUAUAUGUAGUAUAGAUAGUGUAGAUAUUAUAUUAUAGAUAGAGAUAAAAAAAAUUAAACAAAUUUUGAAUUAAAAUAUAGAUUUAUAGUAGAUAAUUUUUGGUUGGUAAAAAUUUAGAUAAGCAUAAUUUUUUUUAUCUCUAUCUAUAAUAUAAUAUCUACACUAUCUAUACUACAUAUAAAAUAAAAUUGAUUCCUCUUUUGGUUGGUAAAAAUUUAGAUAAGCAUAAUUUUUUUUUUCUGUUGUAGGCAAAAAUUUAGAUAAGCAUAAAUAUUUUUCUGUUGUAGAAAUAAAGAGGAAUUAAAAGUUUGUUCAAUUCUGUUAUUUUUUUUACGUAACAAAAGAGGAAUCAAUUUUUUUUUCAAUCCCCGCCAAAAAAUGGGUCUGUCGACAAACUAAAAUUUGAAAUACGUGCAUAUAUAUAUAUAUAUAUAUAUAUAUAUAUAUAUAGAGAGAGAGAGAGAGAGAGAGAGAGAGAGAGAGAGAGAGAGAGAGAGCGCACUAGGCUCCUAUGUUUUCGAAAGUAUGGAGACAUCCGUACUUGUAAGUUGUUUUCGAUGAUAGGACAUUCGAUUUGACGAUCGGUUCCGUUAGACAUGAUUCUACACUAUUUGAACUAUCUAGAAAUCAAAUUUUAUAAUUUUUUGACUUUGUUUGCCUAGUGAACAAAUAGCCUCGAAAUAAACGGUUGAAAAUAAAAAUCUCAUAAGAAAUAAUGAUAAAGGACUCAAAUUUCAAAUCGAAAGUAUUGUUCUUAUUUUUGAUGUCAAGUAGAAUUUUCUAUUAAAUUUUUAUGUAAUUUAUAUACUUCUACACCGUUGAAGUUAAAAACGUGUCACAUCGGCCGUUAAAAUAGUCAUUUUUGAGACCCUGUGAUUGCUGGGUAAAUAAUGUCGAAAAAUUAUGAAAUUUGGUUUAUAAAUAGUUCCAAUAACGUAGAUUAUACCUUAUGGAGCCGAUCGUCAAAUCGGAUAACAUAUCAUCGAAAAUAACUUAUAAGCACGGAAGCCUUCGUACUUUCGAAAGUACGGAAGACGUACUACAUAUAGAAUGAAUAACGCAGCGGGUAGCGUGCCUACCCAUGCAACAAAUAAAACUCUCAAACUUCGGUACUAAGACCAUGGCAUGGAUUCAAUCCCUUUCGGUGAAUUUGUAUACUUUUUUUAACUAUUUUGAGUAUUUGAAAGUAACUGGGCGAUGCAUUCACGCAGACGCAUUAAAUGUAGAUAGAGUCGUCAAAUGGCUAACCAACAUAUCUCAAAACAUGCGCGAAGGGAAUGGACAUAAAGAUUCAACGCGCACGCGUCAUGUAGCUUCGAUCUGAAUAUCCAUCUGAAUGUUAAAAUUAUUGCUGGAUCUCUUGUCAUUAGAUCUCUUACAUAUUUUUAUUGUGGAUUAAUUGCACUUUUCACUCAACUUAUCGGACUGGCCAACUCAUUUAUACGACCAGUUACAAUAAAAAAAGCAAUCAUCGACAGGGCGAGUUGAGGCGGCUGUGAGAGUGAAAAUGAUACAAGAAGUUAGACAAGGCUUGACACGAUGGGCGUGCAUAUGGAAAGACCAACGUGUAGGUAAUAUAGCGGCUAAUAAUUGACUGUGAGAAGAAAAAUAAUUGGUAGGCUGGGAUCAAUAGUGCAGUUAACUUAUAAUCCUAAAUUAAACAUGUAUACAUUAAAACACUGACUCAAAAUAGCUAAACAAGCUUUCUUUCAUCUUCACGCAUAUAUAUAUUUUAUAUAUAUAUAGAGCAGGGCUGCUGUGCUCUCAGGAGCACGGAGGCCUCCGUGCUCCUGUAGCCGUUUAAUAAUGGAUUUUCGAAUCGACGACGGCUCCGUUAGACUUGAUCUAGCGCCAUUUGAAGUUUCUGAGAAAUAAUUUUGCGGAUUUUUCGUAUCAUUUUACCUAGUGAGUCGAAGAUUAAAUCUUAAUUUUUUAAUGGUUGAAUAUCUGCCGUUUUCAAGUUUAACGUGUAGAAUAUUCAAAUCAGAUGAAAUUUUGAUAGAAAAUUCUUUAUACUAGCUACAACAAGAUGCUAUAUUUCUGAUCGAUAAAUUUUAAGUGGCUAUAUCACCACUUUUUAUAGAAUUUUUAUUAUUCAGCCGUUAACAUUUAUUGGUUGAAUCCUUUCGAUUGCUAGGUAAUGAUAUCGAAAAUCGCAAAUAUUUCUAGAAACUUUAAAUACGCUAGAUUAAGUUUAACGGAGCCGAUCGUCGAUUCGAAAACUCCAUCAUCGAAAACCGGCUUAGGAGCACGGAGCCUCCGUGCUCCUAAGAGCACAAGAGCCCUGCUAUAUAUAUAUAUAUAUAUAUUAGAAUUAUGCUACUUAUCUAUCAAUAGUACCAAGCCUUGGUACUAUUGAGUUUUUGGUCGUGAAUGAAAGAAUGUGCGGUUAGGAUGAUAGUGGUCCCGUUAAAUUGAUAGUAGUCUCCUAGGUUGAGUGGGUGGUUGGUUAAAGUAUUAUCUUACGUGGAAAUGAUCAAAGGUGUAUUCUAACGGUAGAAACUCAAUAGUAUCAAGGGCUUGGUAUGUCAAUAGUAUACUAGCCCGGCACUGUAUAUAUAUAUAUAUAUAUAUAGCAGGCUGCUGUGCUCUAGGAGCACGGAGGCCUCCGUGCUCCUUGAGCUGUUUUCGAUGAUGGAAUUUUCGAAUCGACGAUCGCUCCGUUAGACUUGAUCUAGCGCAUUGAAAUUUCUGAAAAAUAAUUUGCGAUUUUUCGAUAAUUUACCUAGCGAUCGAAAGGAUUCAAAAUCUAUAAUUUUUAAUGGUUGAUAUCUGCCGUUUUCAAGUUUAAACGGAUGGUAAAAAGUAUUUAAAUCAGAUGAAAUUUGAUAGAAUUUUUAUACUAUCUACACAAGAUCUAUAUUUCUGAUCGAAAAUUUUAGUGCCUAUAUCACCACUUUUUAUAGGAUUUUUAUUUUCAGCCGUUAAAAAUUAUUGAUUUUGAAUCCUUUCGAUUGCUGGUAAAUGAUAUCGAAAAAUCACAAAAAUUAUCUUCUAGAAACUUUAAAUACGUUAGAUCAACUACUAACGGAGCGAUGGUCGAUUCGAAACAGUCGAUCAUCGAAAAUGGCUCAGGAGCACGGUGCUCCUGAGAGAACAGCAGCCCUGCACUAUAUAUAUUAUAUUACUUAUAUAUAUAUAUAUAUAUAUAUAUAUAUAUAUAUUAAUAUAUAUAUUAGUUGUGCUAGAAUACUAUUGGUAGUAAAGAGCCGUUUUACUAUCGAUUUGUUUUCAAUGAAUAGAACGUCAAAUUGACGAUCGGCUCCGGUGAACAUAAUACUAUACCACUUAAGUGUUUAGAAAUCAAAUUUUCAACUUUUCGACAUCAUUUGCCUAAUGACAAAGAGGUUUAAAAUUUGUAAUUUUAAUGGUCGAUAAGAGGCGUUUUAUCAUUUAAUGCAUAAGAUAUUCAAAUCAAUUGAUAUUUUUGUUAGAAAAUUUUUUAAACUAGUUGAGUGUACGUACAAAUGCAAGUAACAAUUAUUUUAAUUUAUUUUAAAUUAAUAAAAAAUUGUAAAUCAUAUUGAGUUAAGAAUUAGAAUAAAAUUUUUGUAAUUAUAUGUUAGAAAUAAACAUAGCUAGAAAUGUGAAUAAACUAGGAUUCAAACUUGGGUCUCGGAUACCAACCACCAAGCCCUUUGCCACUUGAAUUUAUAAAAGGGCAAGAGUAAUAAAAAUCUCAUAAAACAUGAUGAUGGAAGAUUUGAAUUUAAAAUCAGAGGUACUGAUCUUACUCUAAAUAGUAAAAAGAAUUUUCUAUAAAAAUUUCAUCUGAUUUGGAUUAUUUUACACCGUUAAAUUUACAAAUGCAUCACAUCUACCAUUAAAAUUAUCAAUUUUGAGACCUUUUGAUCACUAGCGAAAUGAUGUCAAAAAAUUAUGAAAUUUAGUUUUCAAAUAUUUUUAAUAUUGUAGAUCAAGUUUAACGGAGCCGAUUGUCGAUUUGGAAGCGGCAUCAUUAAAAACAACUUGGGACUUUCGAAUCGAUGAUCAGCUCCGUUAGACUUGAUUUAGAGUAUUUUAAGUAUCCAGAAAAUAAAUUUUGUGAUUUUUUUAUAUCAUUUGCCUAGUGAUCGAAGUGACUCAAAAUUAACGGCUAAAAAUAAAAAUCUCACAAAAUAUGAUGACAUGACAUUAAAAUUUUAGAUCAACAUAUUAAUUUUAUUUUAUAUAGUGUAAAGAAUUUUAUAUCAAAAUUUCACGUGAUUUGGAUAUUUCUACACCGUUAAACUUGCAAACGGCUCACCACGGCCAUUAAAAUUAUUGAUUUUGAGCCNAUGGGACGAGAAAAGUGAAGAGGAGCAGAGGCGGCAGUGACGACAGUGACAGCAGAGUUGAAGAGAAAAGAGAAGUGCUGUGAGAGAUGGAGAGAAGAAAGGUGGAAGAAGAGAGAGGUAAAAAACUGGGGAUGAAAAAGAAAUUUUUUUUUUCCUCAUUGAUGUAGAACAACUCGAGCUUUUGAGCUGUUCUAGCAUUUAAGGAGAACAACCUGUUCUGGGAUAACUCUGUUUGAUCGGGAUAUCACAUACCCAUCAUUUUUUUUAGGAACAAAUUGGUGGAUAUCCCCCUUGUUUUGGAAAAAUCACCAACCAAAUAGUGCCUUAAAAAAAACGCUUUAACCUCCUUAAAACUUAAUAAUCUUUAUAGUUAACCACUUUCGUUAUUAUAUUGAUUCCAUUAGAAAUUUAUUUUAAUAUCGUACUUGCCUUUCUGCUAGCUCCAAUUUCUCUCCUUUUUUGUCCUUUUUCUCAUGUAUUUUUCGCUUCAAAUUAAUAUGAUAGAUGCGAAAAAAUUAUAUUAAGAGGUUCUAAACCUUCUUUGUCAAUGUGACACCUCUUAAUAUUUAUAGGUAGUACUCGAGUUAUUUCAAUCAAUUAAAUUGAAGGCUUAAUUAAAUUAAUUAUUGAUUCUAUUGAAUUUUAUAUUGAGCAUUCUGGUACUUGCUCUAAUACUAGUUGUUGAGAAUUCACAACCCACUCUGAUACCGAUUGCUGUAAAUCUGGCACUUGUUAUGGUACUGAUUGUUUGCAUUACGCGAAAAAAGCGUCCAAUUGAAUUUUUACCAUAAACCUAUCUUCUUAGCGAAAAUUGAUACAAACACAAAAAAGAGAAAAAUCAAAUAGAAAGUAUAGAUGAAAUAAAUUUCACUAACUAAGAAAAAAAUUACACCUGACUCCUCUUUUACAUAGAAUAGUUUCAACCCAAGCCCUUUUUCUGAAUCUCCCUCCUCUCAAUCUUGAUUCUAUGAAUUCUAAAGACUACUCUCUCUUUUUCUAAAUCAAUGAACAAGAUAUACCGAUGAUCCACAGCCACAAAAGUCGCACACGUCCGCUUACACCCAUGCACCAAAUGCACCUAAAACCCUGAACACUUUGGGCUGUACACGACAUGGCUUUCGACUAAGACGUAUGGCCCAUCAAGAGCACCCACAACAUGGCCAUAAUUGUGCUUAUAUAAUGCACACUCAAAACAUACCCAAUCCUAGUACAAUUAUUGUCAUGCCCCGAAUUACUCGUUUCCCCGGGCACGCUAACAGACCCGCCGUAUGCAUAGAAAUUUUUUUUGUAUACGAAGCGAUAAAUGUACCUGUACUUAUAAUAAUAUAAUACUACAACCAGUAGUAUAGAGCUACUAGAAAGAAAUACAUAUAUAAACAACAUCGGUCCCAAUACAUACAUAGUAUCCUGAUACAAAAUCACUCGCUCCAGCGAGGAACAAAUAUCAGUAUAUACAAGAACAAAAAACUAGCACUAUGUUGAAGCAUAAAAAAAAAAAAUAAAAUAAAAUAAAAUAAAAGAGAAAGAAAAAAAGAGAAAGAGAGAUGGUAUAUGAGAUGAUCCAUGCACUAGGUGCAUGGAUAAAAUUUAAGUUCAAAUUUUGAACCUGAUGCAUAGGUUAAUCCAUGCACCAGGUGCACAGAUAUCAAAAGUGGGAUGUUCUCGUAGGCAUGAAUGGAUGUUGCAAAAAGCAAGUUAGUCCUUUCCCUUUCAUAUAUUUGCAAGAUGCUCCUUCAAACAUAUAAUAUUCUGUUAUUUUAACUAAAAUAUAAUAUAAACAAAAGGGAAGGACUAAUAUACAAUUUAAUACCCAUGACCUCACGAUCCCAUCGUAACUUCCAACCUCUCCCACAAAUCCCACCAUACGCACGAUCCCAAACAGUUACGACUGAUCCCAUAAAUAUCUCCCGAUGAGAAAGAGAGAGGGAGACAAGUUGUUUUUGAAUUCUCUCAAACCCAUUCCAAAACCCAAUCCCAUUCCUGUGUCUACGAAAGAGAAAAGAAAGGUAAAAAAAAAAAGGGAUAAUUGCCUAUAUACCCUUCAUGCGUUCGGAAAUAUCCGAUCUACCCCUACUUUUUUUUUCUUUCUAAAAUGUCCCUCAUACGUUCCACCGUUAUUCCAAAAUACCCCCGCAGUUAUCCCCUGUUAGCUUAACUCGGGUUAAACAUGGGUUAAAUCUAUACUAGAGUUAAAACCUGAACAAAAUACCUAUUUUGCCCCUACUUUAUUAUAGUAAUCCCUAAGAUUAUCCUCUCUUUCUUCCCCAAUUUUGUCGCCACCACCGGCCGACUCCUCCGCCACCACCGGCCGGCUCCUCCGCCUCUACCUCACCUCCUCGCCUCUUCUCCUCCCAGACCGCCACACCGUCCC